This 437-nucleotide unclassified non-coding RNA is filed under the name Hevea brasiliensis (rubber tree). The record is from RNAcentral. Lineage: Eukaryota; Viridiplantae; Streptophyta; Magnoliopsida; Malpighiales; Euphorbiaceae.
UUUGGUUCUUCUCAAUGUUUUCCCACACUAGUUAUAUUCUUUCUUUCGCAACUUUGACUCUGCAUUUGAAAACCCCAAAAAAGGGAAGUGAAAAAGGAAAGCAAUUCUGUAAGCAGGAAUUAAACUUGCUACUACUAUGUUUAAAGCACACUUUUUCCUACUUUGGUGUCAAGAAAAUGAGAAACAUGAUCCAGUGAUGCAUCAAAGUUCAAACCUUGGGAUCAGCAUAGUCACUUUUGCUUUCUCGUCAUUCAAAAUUGUCUCCGCUUCCAAUCUACUUAUUCCCCCCAUUCAAAUAUACUAUCAGACAACAUUUCAGCCUUUUGUCUUCUCAAAAUCCUACUAGAGCCAAAGCCUAGAUUCUUCAUGUGCUCUUUUUCUCCUCUUUACUUGCAGUACAAAUAUUCCCACUUACUUUUUCUCCAUCACAUAUGAAA